RNAcentral lists this ribosomal RNA (887 nucleotides) under uncultured Staphylococcus sp. Its description in RNAcentral is "bacterial SSU rRNA". It matches the Rfam family "Bacterial small subunit ribosomal RNA", at positions 28 to 896 of the family's 1533-position model. The record is from RNAcentral. Lineage: Bacteria; Bacillati; Bacillota; Bacilli; Caryophanales; Staphylococcaceae.
GAUGAACGCUGGCGGCGUGCCUACUAUAUGCAAGUCGAGCGAACGGACGAGAAGCUUGCUUCUCUGAUGUUAGCGGCGGACGGGUGAGUAACACGUGGAUAACCUACCUAUAAGACUGGGAUAACUUCGGGAAACCGGAGCUAAUACCGGAUGAUAUUUUGAACCGCAUGGUUCAAAAGUGAAAGACGGUCUUGCUGUCACUUAUAGAUGGAUCCGCGCUGCAUUAGCUAGUUGGUAAGGUAACGGCUUACCAAGGCAACGAUGCAUAGCCGACCUGAGAGGGUGAUCGGCCACACUGGAACUGAGACACGGUCCAGACUCCUACGGGAGGCAGCAGUAGGGAAUCUUCCGCAAUGGGCGAAAGCCUGACGGAGCAACGCCGCGUGAGUGAUGAAGGUCUUCGGAUCGUAAAACUCUGUUAUUAGGGAAGAACAUAUGUGUAAGUAACUGUGCACAUCUUGACGGUACCUAAUCAGAAAGCCACGGCUAACUACGUGCCAGCAGCCGCGGUAAUACGUAGGUGGCAAGCGUUAUCCGGAAUUAUUGGGCGUAAAGCGCGCGUAGGCGGUUUUUUAAGUCUGAUGUGAAAGCCCACGGCUCAACCGUGGAGGGUCAUUGGAAACUGGAAAACUUGAGUGCAGAAGAGGAAAGUGGAAUUCCAUGUGUAGCGGUGAAAUGCGCAGAGAUAUGGAGGAACACCAGUGGCGAAGGCGACUUUCUGGUCUGUAACUGACGCUGAUGUGCGAAAGCGUGGGGAUCAAACAGGAUUAGAUACCCUGGUAGUCCACGCCGUAAACGAUGAGUGCUAAGUGUUAGGGGGUUUCCGCCCCUUAGUGCUGCAGCUAACGCAUUAAGCACUCCGCCUGGGGAGUACGACCGCAAGGGUG